GGAUCAGACGUGAUUACCCGCUGAACUUAAGCAUAUCACUAAGCGGAGGAAAAGAAACUAACCAGGAUUCCCUAGUACUGCGAGUGAAGAGGGAUUAGCCCAGCACCGAAGCCUGCGGUCAUUUGACUGCUAGGCAAUGUGGUGUUUAGGUUGGUUCUUGGCAUUACUGCUCCACCCUAAGUCCAGCAAUGAGUACGGCUUACUGGAUUGGCCCAUUGAGGGUGAAAGGCCCGUGUGGGUGGAGACCCAGAUUGUCAGUUUUGCCCUGAAUUAACCUUGGAGUCGGGUUGUUUGUGAAUGCAGCCCAAAGUGGGUGGUAAACUCCAUCUAAGGCUAAAUACUGGCACGAGUCCGAUAGCGAACAAGUACCGUGAGGGAAAGUUGAAAAGUACUUUGAAGAGAGAGUAAACAGUUCGUGAACCCGCUCAGAGGUAAACGGGUGGAGUUGAACUGGAAGCCCUGGGGAUUCAGCUGAUGAGUAUGGCAUGAGCUUGGGCAUAUUGGUCGGCUUUCAGAGUCCGCUUAGCUGCGGGUCCUUGCCCUAACGGGUUUGGAUGUGCGUUACGCUCAUUAGGCGUUGUGCGCUCUGUCUGUUCCGGGCCUGCUCGUCAGUGCACUUCCUCAGGGUGUUCACCACGACCGGCGCUGCUGUCUGUCUGUUGCGGUCAAACCGGUUGGGCUUAGUCAUUUUGGCUAAGUUUGAUCGGGAUGGCAGGUAGCUCUUGAGAUUUUCUGGCUUCGGCUAGUAGAGCUCUUGAGUGUAAUUAGCCGACUGUAAUGGAUCUGUGCAGUGCGUCGGAGCUGGCGGCUUUGGUGUGUGUACGCGUGCUGUACCUUGCUGGCUUGGUCAAGUUUGGUUAAUGUGUUACUUGCUUCGGUGGGUCUAUUAAUGGCUUGACUUUGCAUAGUGAGUGGUGGCGCGUGCGACGCUAUCUAGGGCCAAAAGUCUGUGGUGUUGUGGUAAACUAUCCACCCGACCCGUCUUGAAACACGGACCAAGGAGUUUAACAUGUACGCGAGUCAUUGGGCGUUACGAAACCCAAAGGCGUAGUGAAAGUAAAGGUUCGGCUUGUCCGAGCUGAGGUGAGAUCCUGCUGUUUCUCUGCCUUGGACUACCAAGCAUUCGAGCAGUAGGCGCAUCACCGGCCCGUCUCAUGAUGUAGUCAUAUGACCUUUGGUUGUGUGCACCUUCGGGGCGGAGCUAGAGCGUACACGUUGAGACCCGAAAGAUGGUGAACUAUGCCUGCGGAGGUUGAAGCCAGAGGAAACUCUGGUGGAGGACCGCAGCGAUUCUGACGCGCAAAUCGAUCGUCUAACGUGGGUAUAGGGGCGAAAGACUAAUCGAACCAUCUAGUAGCUGGUUCCCUCCGAAGUUUCCCUCAGGAUAGCUGGCAUUCUGAUAAAUAAACAGUUUUAUCCGGUAAAGCGAAUGAUUAGAGAUAUUGGGGAGAAAUCAUCCUCAACCUAUUCUCAAACUUUAAAUGGGUGAGAAGCUUUGCUCGCUUAAUUGGAGUAAGGCGUUGAAUGUGAGUGCCAAGUGGGCCAUUUUUGGUAAGCAGAACUGGCGCUGUGGGAUGAACCAAACGUUCGGAUAAGGUGCCUAACUCAACGCUCAUGAGAUACCACAAAAGGUGUUGGUUGGUCCAGACAGCAGGACGGUGGCCAUGGAAGUCGGAAACCGCUAAGGA
RNAcentral lists this ribosomal RNA (1688 nucleotides) under Clinostomum phalacrocoracis. Its description in RNAcentral is "eukaryotic LSU rRNA". It matches the Rfam family "Eukaryotic large subunit ribosomal RNA", at positions 1 to 1277 of the family's 3401-position model. Lineage: Eukaryota; Metazoa; Platyhelminthes; Trematoda; Strigeidida; Clinostomidae. RNAcentral also lists the same sequence under 1 other name. The record is from RNAcentral.